RNAcentral lists this ribosomal RNA (460 nucleotides) under uncultured bacterium. Its description in RNAcentral is "partial 16S ribosomal RNA". It matches the Rfam family "Bacterial small subunit ribosomal RNA", at positions 338 to 795 of the family's 1533-position model. The record is from RNAcentral.
CCUACGGGAGGCAGCAGUGAGGAAUAUUGGUCAAUGGACGAGAGUCUGAACCAGCCAAGUAGCGUGAAGGAUGACUGCCCUAUGGGUUGUAAACUUCUUUUAUAAAGGAAUAAAACGAGGCACGUGUUCCUUUUUGCAUGGACUUUAUUAAUAAUGAUCGGCUAACUCCGUGCCAGCAGCCGCGGUAAGACUGAGGAUCCGAGCGUUAUCCGGAUUUAUUGGGUUUAAAGUGAGCGUAGAUGGGUUGUUAAGUCAGUUGUGAAAGUUUGCGGCUCAACCGUAAAAUUGCAAAUGAUACUGGCAGUCUUGAGUACAGGUGAGGUAGGCGGAAUUCGCGGUGUAGCAGUGAAAUGCUUAGAUAUCACGAAGAACCCCGAUUGCGAAGGCAGCUUACUAAACUGUGACUGACAUUGAUGCUCGAAAGUGUGGGUAUCAAACAGGAUUAGAUACCCCUGUAGUC